This 497-nucleotide ribosomal RNA is filed under the name uncultured bacterium. RNAcentral's name for it is "partial 16S ribosomal RNA". It matches the Rfam family "Bacterial small subunit ribosomal RNA", at positions 28 to 507 of the family's 1533-position model. The record is from RNAcentral.
GACGAACGCUGGCGGCGUGCCUAAUACAUGCAAGUAGAACGCUGAAGAGAGGAGCUUGCUCUUCUUGGAUGAGUUGCGAACGGGUGAGUAACGCGUAGGUAACCUGCCUUGUAGCGGGGGAUAACUAUUGGAAACGAUAGCUAAUGCCGCAUAACAAUGGAUGACCCAUGUCAUUUAUUUGAAAGGGGCAAAUGCUCCACUACAAGAUGGACCUGCGUUGUAUUAGCUAGUAGGUGAGGUAACGGCUCACCUAGGCGACGAUACAUAGCCGACCUGAGAGGGUGAUCGGCCACACUGGGACUGAGACACGGCCCAGACUCCUACGGGAGGCAGCAGUAGGGAAUCUUCGGCAAUGGGGGCAACCCUGACCGAGCAACGCCGCGUGAGUGAAGAAGGUUUUCGGAUCGUAAAGCUCUGUUGUAAGUCAAGAACGAGUGUGAGAGUGGAAAGUUCACACUGUGACGGUAGCUUACCAGAAAGGGACGGCUAACUACGUG